This 253-nucleotide ribosomal RNA is filed under the name uncultured bacterium. RNAcentral's name for it is "partial 16S ribosomal RNA". It matches the Rfam family "Bacterial small subunit ribosomal RNA", at positions 524 to 776 of the family's 1533-position model. The record is from RNAcentral.
UACGUAGGUGGCAAGCGUUGUCCGGAUUUACUGGGCGUAAAGGAUGCGUAGGCGGACAUUUAAGUCAGAUGUGAAAUACCCGAGCUUAACCUGGGUGCUGCAUUUGAAACUGGGUGUCUAGAGUGCAGGAGAGGUAAGUGGAAUUCCUAGUGUAGCGGUGAAAUGCGUAGAGAUUAGGAAGAACACCAGUGGCGAAGGCGACUUACUGGACUGUAACUGACGCUGAGGCAUGAAAGCGUGGGGAGCAAACAGG